GUGGAUGCCUUGGUAUCGAGAGGCGAUGAAGGACGUGAUACGCUGCGAAAAGCUUCGGGGAGCUGCGAAUGGGCUUUGAUCCGAAGAUAUCCGAAUGGGGAAACCCGGCCCUUUAGGGUCAUCUGCUGCUGAAUACAUAGGCGGUGGAAGCGAACCCGGUGAACUGAAACAUCUCAGUAACCGGAGGAAAGGACAUCAACCGAGACUCCCCUAGUAGUGGCGAGCGAACGGGGGCCAGGCCA
RNAcentral lists this ribosomal RNA (242 nucleotides) under Synchroma pusillum. Its description in RNAcentral is "partial Bacterial large subunit ribosomal RNA". It matches the Rfam family "Bacterial large subunit ribosomal RNA", at positions 24 to 271 of the family's 2925-position model. The record is from RNAcentral. Lineage: Eukaryota; Synchromophyceae; Synchromales; Synchromaceae.